This 253-nucleotide ribosomal RNA is filed under the name uncultured bacterium. Its description in RNAcentral is "partial 16S ribosomal RNA". It matches the Rfam family "Bacterial small subunit ribosomal RNA", at positions 524 to 776 of the family's 1533-position model. The record is from RNAcentral.
UACGUAGGGUGCGAGCGUUGUCCGGAAUUAUUGGGCGUAAAGAGCUUGUAGGCGGUUUGUCGCGUCUGCCGUGAAAAUCCGAGGCUCAACCUCGGACUUGCGGGUGGGUACGGGCAGACUAGAGUGUGGUAGGGGAGACUGGAAUUCCUGGUGUAGCGGUGAAAUGCGCAGAUAUCAGGAGGAACACCGAUGGCGAAGGCAGGUCUCUGGGCCGAUACUGACGCUGAGGAGCGAAGCGUGGGGAGCGAACAGG